Molecule: ribosomal RNA, 466 nt
Filed under: uncultured bacterium
Lineage: Bacteria
Description: bacterial SSU rRNA
Rfam family: Bacterial small subunit ribosomal RNA
Source: RNAcentral
AGGACGAACGCUGGCGGCGUGCCUAACACAUGACAAGUCGAACGGGGUUGUCCUUCGGGGGACAACUUAGUGGCGAACGGGUGAGUAACGCGUGAGGAACCUGCCUUUCAGUGGGGGACAACAGUUGGAAACGACUGCUAAUACCGCAUAAUGUGUCGGAUGGCAUCAUCUGGCAACCAAAGCUUUAUGUGCUGAAAGAUGGCCUCGCGUCUGAUUAGAUAGUUGGUGAGGUAACGGCUCACCAAGUCGACGAUCAGUAGCCGGACUGAGAGGUUGAACGGCCACAUUGGGACUGAGAUACGGCCCAGACUCCUACGGGAGGCAGCAGUGGGGAAUAUUGGGCAAUGGGGGAAACCCUGACCCAGCAACGCCGCGUGAAGGAAGAAGGCCUUCGGGUUGUAAACUUCUUUUAGCAGGGACGAAGGACGUGACGGUACCUGCAGAAAAAGCAACGGCUAACUACGUG